AGCAGCCGCGGUAAUUCCAGCUCCAAUAGCGUAUAUUAAAGUUGUUGCAGUUAAAAGCUCGUAGUUGAAUUUCGGGAUCAAUAUGUCGGUCGUGCCUUCGGUACGUACUGGUAUCAUUGGUCUCUCCUUUCUGACGAACCAUGAUGUCAUUAAUUUGGUGUUAUGGGGAGUUAGGACUGUUACUUUGAAAAAUUAGAGUGUUUAAAGCAGGCUUUAGCUUGAAUACAUUAGCAUGGAAUAAUGAAAUAGGACGUUCGAACCUAUUUUGUUGGUUUCUAGGAUCAACGUAAUGAUUAAUAGGGAUAGUUGGGGGCAUUAGUAUUCAAUUGUCAGAGGUGAAAUUCUUGGAUUUAUUGAAGACUAACUACUGCGAAAGCAUUUGCCAAGGAUGUUUUCAUUAAUCAAGAACGAAAGUUAGGGGAUCGAAGACGAUCAGAUACCGUCGUAGUCUUAACCAUAAACUAUGCCGACUAGGGAUCGGAUGAUGUUAAUUUUUAAUGAC
This 502-nucleotide ribosomal RNA is filed under the name uncultured Glomus. RNAcentral's name for it is "SSU rRNA". It matches the Rfam family "Eukaryotic small subunit ribosomal RNA", at positions 569 to 1075 of the family's 1831-position model. The record is from RNAcentral. Lineage: Eukaryota; Fungi; Glomeromycota; Glomeromycetes; Glomerales; Glomeraceae.